This 199-nucleotide long non-coding RNA is filed under the name Elaeis guineensis (African oil palm). RNAcentral describes it as "long non-coding RNA (EGUI_LNC003308)". Lineage: Eukaryota; Viridiplantae; Streptophyta; Magnoliopsida; Arecales; Arecaceae. The record is from RNAcentral.
GUGGCCACUUUUCUUGCUGACAUGGGAAUAGAUGAAGGCAGGACCACUUGGCCACUGUUGGAUGAAGCAUGGUUCAUGUGGCAAGGAUGAUGAGUUCAUCCGAUUGGCAUAUGGGGACCAAUCAGAGAAAGCUGAAUCAGCAAAGCCGAGUGGACUAAGACAAGUGUUCGGAUUCUCUGUGAUGCAACUUUCACAUCAU